AGAGUUUGAUCAUGGCUCAGAACGAACGCUGGCGGCGUGGAUAAGACAUGCAAGUCAAACGCUGAUUACGGGGUAGCAAUAUUUCGUAGUUGGAGUGGCGAAAGGGUGCGUAACACGUGGGUAAUCUGCCGCGAAGACUGGGAUAACUUGCUGAAAGGCGAGCUAAUACCGGAUGUGAUUGCUGGAAGGCAUCUUUCAGCACUCAAAGUUGGGGACCGUAAGGUCUGACGCUUCGCGAUGAGCCCGCGGCCUAUCAGCUAGUUGGUGAGGUAAUGGCUCACCAAGGCUAAGACGGGUAGCUGGUCUGAGAGGACGACCAGCCACACUGGAACUGAGACACGGUCCAGACACCUACGGGUGGCAGCAGUCGAGAAUUUUUCACAAUGGGCGAAAGCCUGAUGGAGCGACGCCGCGUGGGGGAUGAAGGGCUUCGGUCCGUAAACCCCUGUCAUUUGCGAACAAACCUUGCUCAAUAACACUGGGCGAGUUGAUAGUAGCGAAAGAGGAAGGGACGGCUAACUCUGUGCCAGCAGCCGCGGUAAUACAGAGGUCCCAAGCGUUGUUCGGAUUCACUGGGCGUAAAGGGUGCGUAGGUGGUGGGGUAAGUUCGAUGUGAAAUCUCCGAGCUUAACUCGGAAAUGGCAUUGAAUACUAUCUCACUUGAGGGUCGGAGGGGAGACUGGAAUUCUCGGUGUAGCAGUGAAAUGCGUAGAUAUCGAGAGGAACACCAGUGGCGAAGGCGAGUCUCUGGACGACAUCUGACACUGAGGCACGAAAGCUAGGGGAGCAAACAGGAUUAGAUACCCUGGUAGUCC
This 815-nucleotide ribosomal RNA is filed under the name uncultured bacterium. Its description in RNAcentral is "bacterial SSU rRNA". It matches the Rfam family "Bacterial small subunit ribosomal RNA", at positions 8 to 796 of the family's 1533-position model. The record is from RNAcentral.